CAGUAGCCGCGGUAAGACGAACCGUGCGAACGUUAUUCGGAAUCAUUGGGCUUAAAGCGCGUGUAGGCGGAUGGGAACGUCGGUCGCUGAAAUACCCCGGCUCAACCGGGGAACUGGCAUCGAAACGACCCGUCUCGAGGGGCAUAGGGGGAGCUGGAACUUCCGGUGGAGCGGUGAUACGCGUUGAGAUCGGAAGGAACGCCCGUGGCGAAAGCGAGCUCCUGGAUGUCUUCUGACGCUGAGACGCGAAAGCUAGGGUAGCGAACGGGAUUAGAUACCCCGGUAGUCCCUGUCUCUUAUA
This 301-nucleotide ribosomal RNA is filed under the name uncultured bacterium. RNAcentral's name for it is "partial 16S ribosomal RNA". It matches the Rfam family "Bacterial small subunit ribosomal RNA", at positions 509 to 808 of the family's 1533-position model. The record is from RNAcentral.